Molecule: transfer RNA, 68 nt
Filed under: Arbacia lixula (black urchin)
Lineage: Eukaryota; Metazoa; Echinodermata; Echinoidea; Arbacioida; Arbaciidae
Description: transfer RNA-His
Rfam family: tRNA
About the family: Transfer RNA (tRNA) molecules are approximately 80 nucleotides in length. Their secondary structure includes four short double-helical elements and three loops (D, anti-codon, and T loops). Further hydrogen bonds mediate the characteristic L-shaped molecular structure. tRNAs have two regions of fundamental functional importance: the anti-codon, which is responsible for specific mRNA codon recognition, and the 3' end, to which the tRNAs corresponding amino acid is attached (by aminoacyl-tRNA synthetases). tRNAs cope with the degeneracy of the genetic code in two manners: having more than one tRNA (with a specific anti-codon) for a particular amino acid; and 'wobble' base-pairing, i.e. permitting non-standard base-pairing at the 3rd anti-codon position.
Source: RNAcentral
ACUAAAGUAGUUUAGCAAAAUAUCACGCUGUGGCACUGAAGACGCUAGUUAAACUCUAGCCUUAAGUC